GCUCGGCUAGCUCAGUUGGUUAGAGCGUCGUACUAAUAUUACUCAUGAGUAAUAUCAAGUUAAUGCGAAGGUCCUCAGUUCAAUCCUGUGGCUGAGCA
This 98-nucleotide transfer RNA is filed under the name Truncatella angustata. RNAcentral's name for it is "tRNA-Ile". Lineage: Eukaryota; Fungi; Ascomycota; Sordariomycetes; Amphisphaeriales; Sporocadaceae. The record is from RNAcentral.